This 93-nucleotide transfer RNA is filed under the name Acetobacter sp. Its description in RNAcentral is "tRNA-Ser". It matches the Rfam family "tRNA". Rfam says of the family: Transfer RNA (tRNA) molecules are approximately 80 nucleotides in length. Their secondary structure includes four short double-helical elements and three loops (D, anti-codon, and T loops). The record is from RNAcentral. Lineage: Bacteria; Pseudomonadati; Pseudomonadota; Alphaproteobacteria; Acetobacterales; Acetobacteraceae. RNAcentral also lists the same sequence under 11 other names.
GGAGGGGUGGCCGAGAGGCUGAAGGCGGCGGUUUGCUAAACCGUUGUACGGUGUCAAGCCGUACCGUGGGUUCGAAUCCCAUCCCCUCCGCCA